CUCCUCCUGUUCAUUCAGCUAGUUAGUCGGUCGACGCCGAACCUCAAUGCUUCAGCAAUCACCAUGCGGGUUGAUCGGUGGAGGACGGAGACACACGGUUUCCAUCUUCGAACCGAGGAGAUGACCGUGACGCUCCAGGAUGUCUCCUUGAUCACCGGUCUUCCUAUCGAGGGGAAGCCUCUCUGUAUGAGCACUGAUUCUGAUGGGUGGCGCUAG
This 216-nucleotide ribosomal RNA is filed under the name Triticum aestivum (bread wheat). RNAcentral describes it as "partial small subunit ribosomal RNA". The record is from RNAcentral. Lineage: Eukaryota; Viridiplantae; Streptophyta; Magnoliopsida; Poales; Poaceae.